AGAUUGAAAGUAGAGCUCCUUUAAGUUCAAACGAGAGUUUAGUAGGGUAAAGAAAAGCUGCUAAGCUAUGGAUCCCAUAAGCCCUAAUCCUUAUAGAGAGAAAAAAAAGGAUUUGGUUAUAUGGCUUGCAUAUCUUAGGAGCUUUAACUUGCCCUUUAAUUGCUUUUACUCUUCUUUGGAUUGAAGGGAGCUCUACAACUUCUUUCU
This 207-nucleotide microRNA precursor is filed under the name Brassica rapa (field mustard). RNAcentral describes it as "pre miRNA MIR159". It matches the Rfam family "MIR159 microRNA precursor family". Lineage: Eukaryota; Viridiplantae; Streptophyta; Magnoliopsida; Brassicales; Brassicaceae. The record is from Rfam by way of RNAcentral.